Molecule: ribosomal RNA, 517 nt
Filed under: uncultured bacterium
Lineage: Bacteria
Description: bacterial SSU rRNA
Rfam family: Bacterial small subunit ribosomal RNA
Source: RNAcentral
CGGCGGGCUUAUACUGCAGUCGAGGGGUAACGAUGGCUUCGGCCAGGCGACGACCGGCGCACCCUUUUGAAACACGUAUGCAACCUACCUUCAACUGGGGAAUACUUUUGAGAAAUCGGGAUUAAUACCCCAUAAUAUUUAUCAUUCGCAUGUUUGAUAAAUUAAAACUCCGGUGGUUGAAGAUGGGCAUGCGCGACAUUAGUUAGUUGGUGAGGUAACGGCUCACCAAGACCGCGAUGUCUAGGGGUUCUGAGAGGACUAUCCCCCACACUGGUACUGAGACACGGACCAGACUCCUACGGGAGGCAGCAGUAAGGAAUAUUGGUCAAUGGACGAAAGUCUGAACCAGCCAUGCCGCGUGCAGGAUGACAGCCCUAUGGGUUGUAAACUGCUUUUAUAUAGGAAGAAACUCAUGCUCGUGAGCGUGACUGACGGUACUAUAUGAAUAAGGACCGGCUAACUCCGUGCCAGCAGCCGCGGUAAUACGGAGGGUCCAAGCGUUAUCCGGAUUCAUUGG